This 257-nucleotide ribosomal RNA is filed under the name uncultured Actinomycetales bacterium. Its description in RNAcentral is "partial 16S ribosomal RNA". It matches the Rfam family "Bacterial small subunit ribosomal RNA", at positions 76 to 334 of the family's 1533-position model. Lineage: Bacteria; Bacillati; Actinomycetota; Actinomycetes; Actinomycetales. The record is from RNAcentral.
CGCUUUUGUGGGGUGCUCGAGUGGCGAACGGGUGAGUAACACGUGAGUAACCUGCCCUUGACUUUGGGAUAACUUCAGGAAACUGGGGCUAAUACCGGAUAGGAGCCCCUGCUGCAUGGUGGGGGUUGGAAAGUUUCGGCGGUUGGGGAUGGACUCGCGGCUUGUCAGCUUGUUGGGGGGUAGUGGCUUACCAAGGCUUUGACGGGUAGCCGGCCUGAGAGGGUGACCGGCCACAUUGGGACUGAGAUACGGCCCAG